GACCCCGUAGCUCAGCUGGUAGAGCACCUGACUUUUAAUCAGGGGGUCGCAGGUUCGAAUCCUGCCGGGGUCAC
This 74-nucleotide transfer RNA is filed under the name Rhodothermus marinus. RNAcentral's name for it is "tRNA-Lys". It matches the Rfam family "tRNA". Rfam says of the family: Transfer RNA (tRNA) molecules are approximately 80 nucleotides in length. Their secondary structure includes four short double-helical elements and three loops (D, anti-codon, and T loops). Further hydrogen bonds mediate the characteristic L-shaped molecular structure. tRNAs have two regions of fundamental functional importance: the anti-codon, which is responsible for specific mRNA codon recognition, and the 3' end, to which the tRNAs corresponding amino acid is attached (by aminoacyl-tRNA synthetases). tRNAs cope with the degeneracy of the genetic code in two manners: having more than one tRNA (with a specific anti-codon) for a particular amino acid; and 'wobble' base-pairing, i.e. permitting non-standard base-pairing at the 3rd anti-codon position. The record is from RNAcentral. Lineage: Bacteria; Pseudomonadati; Rhodothermota; Rhodothermia; Rhodothermales; Rhodothermaceae.